Non-coding RNA from Vicia faba (fava bean), 270 nucleotides. NCBI's taxonomy places the organism in Eukaryota, Viridiplantae, Streptophyta, Magnoliopsida, Fabales, Fabaceae. The record is from the annotation of a GenBank genome assembly.
AUGUACCAAAUCAGAAUUGGAGGUGAUGUGUGCACGGAGGAGUCCGACCGGAGAAGAGGUUCGUCAUGUGGGUUUGCAGCCGCGCUGUUUGGAGGGUUGGACGGCGACGUUGUUGUGGUGGAAAGGAGGCAAAAUCCGUGUGGGGAUCUGGUGGAUGUUACGACGAUGAUGAAGGAGGGUUCAUUGGAGAGCAAUGUCGUUGGUGUUUGUGGUAGAUUUGUGGAUCAUUAUGACGAUGACGGUUUCGUCCGUGGAAGAUGGAUUUGGUGA